RNAcentral lists this ribosomal RNA (268 nucleotides) under uncultured bacterium. RNAcentral describes it as "partial 16S ribosomal RNA". It matches the Rfam family "Bacterial small subunit ribosomal RNA", at positions 87 to 354 of the family's 1533-position model. The record is from RNAcentral.
UUAUUUUAGCGGCGGACGGGUGAGUAACGUGUGGGUAACCUGCCUUUUACUGUGGAAUAAUCGUUGGAAACGACGACUAAUACCGCAUACGGUUCUUGGAAGGCAUCUUCUAAGAAAGAAAGGAGUAAUUCGGUAAAAGAUGGGCCCGCAUCUGAUUAGCUAGUUGGUGAGAUAAUAGCCCACCAAGGCAACGAUCAGUAGCCGACCUGAGAGGGUGACCGGCCACAUUGGGACUGAGACACGGCCAAACUCCUACGGAAGGCAGCAG